Molecule: long non-coding RNA, 1699 nt
Organism: Mytilus trossulus (common blue mussel)
Lineage: Eukaryota; Metazoa; Mollusca; Bivalvia; Mytilida; Mytilidae
Exons: 3
Source: RefSeq, a predicted model, not a curated record
AGAAAUGAACUGGAUACUGCCCAGGAUGUAGAUAACAUCGGACAGAUAACUAAACUGGUAAUCAGGAAUACAAGAAAACUGCCAGAAGAUGGACAUAAACCAUGAUCUAACAGAUUGUACCUUUUUUUAUUUUAUGUGAUGUUCGUAUAUUUGUCUGUGUUACAUAUUUUUUAUUUAUGUAUAUUUAUGUAGAAUUACGUAUCAAUUAAACGUAGUAUACUAUUUCAGCUGCAUCUGAUGAAAUGUUCAUGUCCUCAGUAUUUAUCAACAAUUACAAGAUGUUUGAGAUGAAGCACACAACUCUUCGAGAACUGUUUGCUACGAGGAAACUUUCCAUUCAAGAGAGUAUUCGUCUGGUCUCACAACUUGCAGCUGGAAUAGCAUACUUACAUCAUCGUUAUUUGACAUUUUGCCAACCAGUUUCUUUGGAUACUUUAGUUGUCGUCAUGGAUGGAAAGACCAUCGAACGAAUAAAGGUGAUUUCUAAAAUAAAGAAUAUUAGAAAUGAACUGGAUACUACCCAGGAUGUAGAUAACAUCGGACAGAUAACUAAAGUGGUAAUCAGGAAUACAAGAAAACUGCCAGAAGAUGGACAUAAACCAUGAUCUAACAGAGUGUACAUUUUUUGAUAUUAUGUGUUGUUCGUAUAUUUGUUUGUGUAACAUCUUUUUUAUUUAUGCAUAUGUAUGUAAAGUUACGGAUAGAUUAAACGUAGUAUACUUUUUCAGCUGCAUCUGAUGAAAUGUUCAUGUCCUCAGUAUUUAUCAACAAUUACAAGAUGCUUCAGAUGAAGCACACAACUCUUCGAGAACUGUUUGCAACGAGGAAACUUACCAUUCGGGCGAGUAUUCGUCUGGUCUCACAACUUGCAGCUGGAAAAGCAUACUUACAUAAUCGUUAUUUGACACUUUGGCAACCAGUUCCUUUGGAUACUUUAGUUGUCGUCAUGGAUGGAAAGACCAUUGAACGAAUAAAGGUGAUUUCUGAAAUAAAGAAUAUUAGAAAUGAACUGGAUAGAUGUAGAUAACAUCGGACAGAUAACUAAACUGGUAAUCAGGAAUACAAGAAAACUGCCAGAAGAUGGACAUAAACCAUGAUCUAACAGAUUGUACAUUUUUUUAUUGUAUGUGAUGUUCGUUUAUUUGUUUGUGUAACAUCUUUUAAAUUUAUGUAAAUGAUAAUAAAAAUUGAUCCAACCAAAUACACUGAUCAUGCAAACACUGAAAACAAUAAAAUAAACACAGCAGGAAUUUAACCUAAGACUACAAAUAAAAAACGUUCUCUUUUUAUUAUAGUUUUUACUCUAUUUUCUCAGUUCACUGAACAUAGAAAAAGAUUUUACAGAUGGGACACCCGUUUACUGGUUUACGUAAGUUCAUUUUUCCCCUUUGUUUCUGUUAAGAUGAUUUACUUGAUCAUCUGGUUUUGACACGAGAAAGAAUACUUUUGAAGAUAUCAACAUAGUACAUACAUAAGUGUCGUCCCUGUUAUUUAUCUUAACCUUAUGAUAAUUGUGCUGAUGUAAACCCGUUAUACACUGCUGGCAAAGCAUUUAAGAGUACUUAUAAUGUUGUAUUUUUAUUAAUAUUAUUUGCAUAUGUCUAUUAUAAUAUAUCUGUCACAUUGAAUGUUGUAUAAUAUCUCAUGUUUGUUGAUUAUAUUGUCAUAUCUAAUUAUAAAUGUUUAUUGUAAAUUACCA